GACGAACGCUGGCGGCGUGCUUAACACAUGCAAGUCGAACGGAAAGGCCCUGCUUGCAGGGUACUCGAGUGGCGAACGGGUGAGUAACACGUGGGUGAUCUGCCCUGCACUUCGGGAUAAGCCUGGGAAACUGGGUCUAAUACCGGAUAGGAGCCAUUUUUAGUGUGAUGGUUGGAAAGUUUUUUCGGUGUAGGAUGAGCUCGCGGCCUAUCAGCUUGUUGGUGGGGUAAUGGCCUACCAAGGCGGCGACGGGUAGCCGGCCUGAGAGGGUGGACGGCCACAGUGGGACUGAGAUGAGGCCCAGACGCCGACGGGAGGCAGGAGUGGGGAAUAUUGCACAAUGGGCGCGAGCCUGAUGCAGCGACGCCGCGUGGGGGAUGACGGCCUUCGGGUUGAAAACUCCUUUCGCUAGGGACGAAGCUUUUUGUGACGGUACCUAGAUAAGAAGCACCGGCUAACUACGUG
Molecule: ribosomal RNA, 465 nt
Filed under: uncultured bacterium
Lineage: Bacteria
Description: partial 16S ribosomal RNA
Rfam family: Bacterial small subunit ribosomal RNA
Source: RNAcentral